UACGUAGGUGACAAGCGUUGUCCGGAAUUACUGGGCGUAAAGAGCGCGCAGGCGGUCGUUCAAGUCGAGUGUGAAAGCCCCCGGCUCAACUGGGGAGGGUCACUCGAUACUGAUCGACUUGAAGGCAGGAGAGGGAAGCGGAAUUCCCGGUGUAGUGGUGAAAUGCGUAGAUAUCGGGAGGAACACCAGUGGCGAAGGCGGCUUCCUGGCCUGUUCUUGACGCUGAGGCGCGAAAGCUAGGGGAGCAAACGGG
This 253-nucleotide ribosomal RNA is filed under the name uncultured bacterium. RNAcentral's name for it is "partial 16S ribosomal RNA". It matches the Rfam family "Bacterial small subunit ribosomal RNA", at positions 524 to 776 of the family's 1533-position model. The record is from RNAcentral.